AGUGAACGCUGGCGGUAGGCCUAACACAUGCAAGUCGAGCGGCCACACAGUAAGCGUUCGCCCCUACCGGUGGCGACUGGCGGAUGGGUGAGGAAUACAUCGCCUUCCUAUUUUACUUGGGGGACUUCGUGGGGCCACUUAUGCUAACACCUAAUACAUUCUACGGGUGAAAUCAAGAGUUCUUCACACCUUUCCCGUUUGAUUGAGACGAUGUCGGAUUAGCUAGUGGGCUGGGUAAAGGCCCACCAAGGCGACGAACCGUUGCUGGUCCGAGAGGAGGAUCAGCCACACUGAAACUGAGACACGUUCCAGACUCCUACGGGAGGCAGCAGUGGGGAAUAUUGGACAAUGGGCGCAAGCCUGAUCCAGCCAGACCGCGUGGGUGAAGAAGGCCUUCGGGUUGUAAAGCCCUUUUGUUGGGAAAGAAAAGCAGCAGAGUAAUACCCCGCUGUUCUGACGGUACCCAAAGAAUAAGCACCGGCUAACUUCGU
This 491-nucleotide ribosomal RNA is filed under the name uncultured bacterium. RNAcentral's name for it is "partial 16S ribosomal RNA". It matches the Rfam family "Bacterial small subunit ribosomal RNA", at positions 29 to 506 of the family's 1533-position model. The record is from RNAcentral.